GAUGAACGCUGGCGGCGUGCCUAAUACAUGCAAGUCGAGCGAACGGACGAGAAGCUUGCUUCUCUGAUGUUAGCGGCGGACGGGUGAGUAACACGUGGAUAACCUACCUAUAAGACUGGGAUAACUUCGGGAAACCGUAGCUAAUACCGGAUAAUAUUUUGAACCGCAUGGUUCAAAAGUGAAAGACGGUCUUGCUGUCACUUAUAGAUGGAUCCGCGCUGCAUUAGCUAGUUGGUAAGGUAACGGCUUACCAAGGCAACGAUGCAUAGCCGACCUGAGAGGGUGAUCUGCCACACUACAGCAGACAGCCGGUCCAGCCUCCUACAGGAGGCAGCAGUAGGCACUCUUACGAAGUGCGCGAACGCCUGACGGAGCAACGCCACGUAAGUGAUGACAGUCUUCUGAUCGUACAACUCUGUUAUUAGGGAAGAACAUAUGUGUAAGUAACUGUGCACAUCUUGACGGUACCUAAUCAGAAAGCCACGGCUAACUACGUG
This 497-nucleotide ribosomal RNA is filed under the name uncultured bacterium. RNAcentral describes it as "partial 16S ribosomal RNA". It matches the Rfam family "Bacterial small subunit ribosomal RNA", at positions 28 to 507 of the family's 1533-position model. The record is from RNAcentral.